RNAcentral lists this ribosomal RNA (655 nucleotides) under bacterium H6(2014). Its description in RNAcentral is "bacterial SSU rRNA". It matches the Rfam family "Bacterial small subunit ribosomal RNA", at positions 1 to 654 of the family's 1533-position model. The record is from RNAcentral.
CUUAAAAAACACGUCAAACGUGGCGGCGUGCCUAUACAUGCAGUCGAGCGAAUGGAUUAAGAGCUUGCUCUUAUGAAGUUAGCGGCGGACGGGUGAGUAACACGUGGGUAACCUGCCCAUAAGACUGGGAUAACUCCGGGAAACCGGGGCUAAUACCGGAUAACAUUUUGAACCGCAUGGUUCGAAAUUGAAAGGCGGCUUCGGCUGUCACUUAUGGAUGGACCCGCGUCGCAUUAGCUAGUUGGUGAGGUAACGGCUCACCAAGGCAACGAUGCGUAGCCGACCUGAGAGGGUGAUCGGCCACACUGGGACUGAGACACGGCCCAGACUCCUACGGGAGGCAGCAGUAGGGAAUCUUCCGCAAUGGACGAAAGUCUGACGGAGCAACGCCGCGUGAGUGAUGAAGGCUUUCGGGUCGUAAAACUCUGUUGUUAGGGAAGAACAAGUGCUAGUUGAAUAAGCUGGCACCUUGACGGUACCUAACCAGAAAGCCACGGCUAACUACGUGCCAGCAGCCGCGGUAAUACGUAGGUGGCAAGCGUUAUCCGGAAUUAUUGGGCGUAAAGCGCGCGCAGGUGGUUUCUUAAGUCUGAUGUGAAAGCCCACGGCUCAACCGUGGAGGGUCAUUGGAAACUGGGAGACUUGAGUGCAGAAG